UACGGAGGGUGCAAGCGUUAAUCGGAAUUACUGGGCGUAAAGCGCGCGUAGGCGGCUAUUUAAGCUAGAUGUGAAAGCCCCGGGCUCAACCUGGGAACUGCAUUUAGAACUGGAUGGCUAGAGUAUGGCAGAGGAGUGUGGAAUUUCCGGUGUAGCGGUGAAAUGCGUAGAGAUCGGAAGGAACAUCAGUGGCGAAGGCGACACUCUGGGCUAAUACUGACGCUGAGGUGCGAAAGCGUGGGGAGCAAACAGG
This 253-nucleotide unclassified non-coding RNA is filed under the name uncultured Cellvibrionales bacterium. RNAcentral describes it as "contains 16S-23S intergenic spacer region". It matches the Rfam family "Bacterial small subunit ribosomal RNA", at positions 524 to 776 of the family's 1533-position model. Lineage: Bacteria; Pseudomonadati; Pseudomonadota; Gammaproteobacteria; Cellvibrionales. The record is from RNAcentral.